GACGAACGCUGGCGGCGUGCUUAACACAUGCAAGUCGAACGGACAGGCCCUGCUUUUGUGGGGUGCUCGAGUGGCGAAGGGGUGAGUAACACGUGAGUAACCUCCCCUUGACUUUGGGAUAACUUCAGGAAACUGGGGCUAAUAUCGGAGAGGAGCUCCUGCUGCAUGGGGUGGGAUGGAAAGUGUCGGCGGUUGGGGAUGGACUCGCGGGUAAUCAGCUGGUUGGGGUGGUAGGUGAGUACCAGGCCUUUGACGGAUAGCCGGCCUGGGAGGGUGAACGGCGACCAUGGGACUGAGAGACGGACCAGACGGCUACGGGAGGCAGCAGUGGAGAAUCUUGCAGAAUGGGCGGAAGCCUGAUGCAGCGACGCCGCGUGCGGGAUGACGGCCUUCGGGUUGUAAACAGCUGUCGACGGUGACGAAGAGUGAGUGACGGUAAUGGGUAAAAAAGCACCGGCUAACUACGUG
Molecule: ribosomal RNA, 468 nt
Filed under: uncultured bacterium
Lineage: Bacteria
Description: partial 16S ribosomal RNA
Rfam family: Bacterial small subunit ribosomal RNA
Source: RNAcentral